UCCUCGAAAAAUUAACAAAACACUAUUAAAAAAAAGGGGAAAAUGAAAAAUGUUAUGAAAAUUCCAACUCGUUUAAGAAUCAAUGUAGCAGAGUCUUCUUAAUAUGCUCUUACACAAUUUUUUGUUCUCUUCUUCUAACCCAAAUUUCCUCUUUAACUAUUCCAUCUUCUUUUCAAAAUUCUCUCUAUACAAGUACUUAUACAUCUUUCUAUUCGGUGCGAGGUGGUGCCAACAUGGUUGCGAUGCUUGUUCACCAGUGCAUAAGCCCUUUACCGGCACGGGUCGACCGGAGGAACAUGCAGAAGCCUAGACAUUAUCCCUUUAUUUCCUACGUUCUUACAAAGCCAAGAACCUGUACAGAGAUAACAUCUGAUGAGUCUAAGAAUGUUUACAAAGAUAACUGGUUUGAUCUUCUCGCCAUUAAUCAUAUCUCCAAAAGCUUUCAAGCUUCAACAGGUUCUCCCUCUCUCUCUCUCUCUAUAUAUAUGGUCUGUAUCUCUCUCUCUCAUAUACACACAGGAUUCAGAAGCAGCAAGGGGGGAUAUGAUGGCUUCGUGGAAGCUGCAACAAUGGCGACAAAGUUGUUUACUCCAACUGGGCAGCAGAGAAUUGUUAAUCAAACACUUGAUAUGGCCUUUCCUAGGCCUAUACUUAACAUGGCAAGUUCAUUUUAUCCUCCAAAAAUAUAUGUUUUGAUCAUCUUCAUCGUAAUUAAAUUCAAUAUUAAAUUUCUAAAAAAUAGUUGGCUGAAGAAAUUAAAAUUUUUUUUUUUUAAAAAAAGGCAAGAGGAAAG
RNAcentral lists this long non-coding RNA (793 nucleotides) under Olea europaea subsp. europaea. Lineage: Eukaryota; Viridiplantae; Streptophyta; Magnoliopsida; Lamiales; Oleaceae. The record is from RNAcentral.